RNAcentral lists this transfer RNA (72 nucleotides) under Camelus bactrianus (Bactrian camel). It matches the Rfam family "tRNA". Rfam says of the family: Transfer RNA (tRNA) molecules are approximately 80 nucleotides in length. Their secondary structure includes four short double-helical elements and three loops (D, anti-codon, and T loops). Lineage: Eukaryota; Metazoa; Chordata; Mammalia; Artiodactyla; Camelidae. The record is from Rfam by way of RNAcentral. RNAcentral also lists the same sequence under 3 other names.
GAGGGUAUAGCUCAGUGGUAGAGUGCGUGCUUAGCAUGCACAAGGUCCUGGGUUCAAUCCCCAGUACCUCUG